Molecule: ribosomal RNA, 700 nt
Filed under: uncultured bacterium
Lineage: Bacteria
Description: bacterial SSU rRNA
Rfam family: Bacterial small subunit ribosomal RNA
Source: RNAcentral
CACCCCAAAAAUAAAUUAAGUUUUUUUCUCUAUUUUGAUUUGUUGAUCGCCCGCCCGGGCGGGGAGUAUGAACAGUAACCCUUCCCUCGUCCCGCAUGGACGACGAGCGCCUUUUCUAAGCGAGCUGCGGACGGGCUAGAAACGCUGGGGAACGGGCCCAGAUGUCUGAAUAGUCACUGGACUGGUGAGCAAUACAUUAUUCGCCCUUCGGGGGAAAGAUUUAUCGGGGUGGGCACCCCGCGCGACCAUCGAUACAUGGGGGGGUAACGGCCUACCAAGUCUACGAUCUAUAGCUGGCUUUACAGGAUGAUCCGCAACACUGGGACCGACACACGCCCCAGACUCCUACCGGAGGCAUCAGCGGGGAAUCUUGGACAAUGGGUGCUAGCCUGAUCCCACCAUGCCGCAUGACUGAUGAAGGGCCUAGGGUCGUGAGCUCUUUCGCUUGUGAAGAUUAUGACGGUAGCAGGUUAUGAAAGCCAGGCAAACUCCAUGCCAGCAAACGCGGUAAACCCUCGGGGUUAGCGUUGUUCGGAAUUACUGGGCGUACAGCGCGCUUAGGCGGACUAUUACGUCGUAGGAGAAAUCCCGGGGCUCAUCCCCGGCCCUGCCUUUGAUACUGCUAGUCUUGAUUUCCCGAGAUGUAAUUGGAAUUCAGAGUGUAUAGGAGAAGUCAUAGAUUUUCGGAGGAGCACCAGUG